RNAcentral lists this unclassified non-coding RNA (352 nucleotides) under soil metagenome. RNAcentral's name for it is "partial contains 5.8S ribosomal RNA, internal transcribed spacer 2, and large subunit ribosomal RNA". The stretch from base 1 to 120 matches the Rfam family "5.8S ribosomal RNA", at positions 35 to 154 of the family's 154-position model. The record is from RNAcentral.
GAUGAAGAACGUAGCGAAAUGCGAUAAGUAAUGUGAAUUGCAGAAUUCAGUGAAUCAUCGAAUCUUUGAACGCACAUUGCGCCCGCCAGUAUUCUGGCGGGCAUGCCUGUUCGAGCGUCAUUUCAACCCUCAGGCCCCCAGUGCCUGGUGUUGGGGAUCGGCCCAGCCUUCCUGUAAGGCCGCCGGCCCCGAAAUCUAGUGGCGGUCUCGCUGUAGUCCUCCUCUGCGUAGUAGCGCAACCUCGCAGUUGGAACGCGGCGGUGGCCAUGCCGUUAAACACCCCACUUCUGAAAGUUGACCUCGGAUCAGGUAGGAAUACCCGCUGAACUUAAGCAUAUCAAUAAGCGGAGGA